GACGAACCGUGCGAACGUUGUUCGGAUUCACUGGGCUUAAAGGGCGCGUAGGCGGACGGUCAAGUCAGGGGUGAAAUCUUUCAGCUCAACUGGAAAAGUGCCUUUGAUACUGAUCGUCUCGAGGGAGGUAGGGGCAUGUGGAACUUCCGGUGGAGCGGUGAAAUGCGUAGAUAUCGGAAGGAACGCCGGUGGCGAAAGCGACGUGCUGGACCUCUUCUGGCGCUGAGGCGCGAAAGCUAGGGGAGCAAACGGG
This 253-nucleotide ribosomal RNA is filed under the name uncultured bacterium. RNAcentral describes it as "partial 16S ribosomal RNA". It matches the Rfam family "Bacterial small subunit ribosomal RNA", at positions 524 to 776 of the family's 1533-position model. The record is from RNAcentral.